Molecule: unclassified non-coding RNA, 238 nt
Filed under: Hevea brasiliensis (rubber tree)
Lineage: Eukaryota; Viridiplantae; Streptophyta; Magnoliopsida; Malpighiales; Euphorbiaceae
Source: RNAcentral
UGAUCUUUGAGCAAGUUUCCUCUUAAUCUCCAAUCUCAGAGGCAUUUUCAGCGAUGAAUAUGAGAACUCUCCUGAAGAGUAACCGAAGCAGUGAUUGAAGUAGCGGUAGAGAACAAAUUGAAGCACAAAUUAGCUGCAGAGAUCUUCGAAUUCCAAAUGUUUUGAAGUGAGAGAAGGACGAAGAGAGAUCAAGAGAGAGAAAAUUAGUACUCCAAGAGGUUUAGCUCGUGUAACAGCG